AUGGAGCCGAAGCCCAAGAGGAAGAAGUCCUGGGCGGCGGCUCCAGCGGAGGUGGAGGACUUCACAGCGCUUGAGCUGGAAGCGGCCGAGCAGCUCAUCCGUCUUAGCGAGAGUAACGUGUCCUUGGGAACCCCAAACGUCCCCGUCUCCCCCUGUGUGGAGCUCUCAAGUCAGUCCUCCUCUCCUCCGCACUCCGCGAAGGCCCCGCCUGUGCCACCGGCUCCUGGGGCAAUAAUUCUUGGCGGUUCCGAGGAUUGGGAGGAAGAUGAGCAGCAUGAGGUGGCCGGGAGGCAGCGGAGGGUGAAGCGCUACCGCCUGAUCAGCGAGAUCUACGCCGCGAUGGAGCCAAUUGGCGGGCACACCGGUAGCAACCAUAAGAAGAAGAGGGGGGAGUAG
This 396-nucleotide ribosomal RNA is filed under the name Triticum aestivum (bread wheat). Its description in RNAcentral is "partial small subunit ribosomal RNA". The record is from RNAcentral. Lineage: Eukaryota; Viridiplantae; Streptophyta; Magnoliopsida; Poales; Poaceae.